GACGAACGCUGGCGGCAGGCUUAACACAUGCAAGUCGAACGGGUGUAGCAAUACAUCAGUGGCAGACGGGUGAGUAACACGUGGGAACCUUCCUAGGGGUACGGAAAAACUCAGGGAAACUUGAGCUAAUACCGUAUACGUCCGUGAGGAGAAAGAUUUAUCGCCCUUAGACGGGCCCGCGUCGGAUUAGCUAGUUGGUGGGGUAACGGCAUACAAAGGCGACGAUCCGUAGCUGAUCUUAGAGGAUGAUCAGCCACACUGGGACUGAGACACGGCCCAGACUCCUACGGGAGGCAGCAGUGGGGAAUCUUGGACAAUGGGCGCAAGCCUGAUCCAGCCAUGCCGCGUGAGUGAAGAAGGUCUUCGGAUUGUAAAGCUCUUUUGCCAGGGACGAUAAUGACGGUACCUGGAGAAUAAGCCCCGGCAAACUUCGUGCCAGCCGCCGCCGUAA
Molecule: ribosomal RNA, 451 nt
Filed under: uncultured bacterium
Lineage: Bacteria
Description: partial 16S ribosomal RNA
Rfam family: Bacterial small subunit ribosomal RNA
Source: RNAcentral